GAUGAACGCUGGCGGCGUGCCUAAUACAUGCAAGUCGAGCGAACGGACGAGAAGCUUGCUUCUCUGAUGUUAGCGGCGGACGGGUGAGUAACACGUGGAUAACCUACCUAUAAGACUGGGAUAACUUCGGGAAACCAGAGCUAAUACCGGAUAAUAUUUUGAACCGCAUGGUUCAAAAGUGAAAGACGGUCUUGCUGUCACUUAUAGAUGGAUCCGCGCUGCAUUAGCUAGUUGGUAAGGUAACGGCUUACCAAGGCAACGAUGCAUAGCCGACCUGAGAGGGUGAUCGGCCACACUGGAACUGAGACACGGUCCAGACUCCUACGGGAGGCAGCAGUAGGGAAUCUUCCGCAAUGGGCGAAAGCCUGACGGAGCAACGUCGCGUGAGUGAUGAAGGUCUUCGGAUCGUAAAACUCUGUUAUUAGGGAAGAACAUAUGUGUAAGUAACUGUGCACAUCUUGACGCUACCUAAUCAGAAAGCCACGGCUAACUACGUGCCAGCAGCCGCGGUAAUACGUAGGUGGCAAGCGUUAUCCGGAAUUAUUGGGCGUAAAGCGCGCGUAGGCGGUUUUUUAAGUCUGAUGUGAAAGCCCACGGCUCAACCGUGGAGGGUCAUUGGAAACUGGAAAACUUGAGUGCAGAAGAGGAAAGUGGAAUUCCAUGUGUAGCGGUGAAAUGCGCAGAGAUAUGGAGGAACACCAGUGGCGAAGGCGACUUUCUGGUCUGUAACUGACGCUGAUGUGCGAAAGCGUGGGGAUCAAACAGGAUUAGAUACCCUGGUAGUCCACGCCGUAAACGAUGAGUGCUAAGUGUUAGGGGGUUUCCGCCCCUUAGUGCUGCAGCUAACGCAUUAAGCACUCCGCCUGGGGAGUACGACCGCAAGGUUGAAACUCAAAGGAAUUGACGGGGACCCGCACAAGCGGUGGAGCAUGUGGUUUAAUUCGAAGCAACGCGAAGAACCUUACCAAAUCUUGACAUCCUUUGACAACUCUAGAGAUAGAGCCUUCCCCUUCGGGGGACAAAGUGACAGGUGGUGCAUGGUUGCCGUCAGCUCGUGUCGUGAGAUGUUGGGUUAAGUCCCGCAACGAGCGCAACCCUUAAGCUUAGUUGCCAUCAUUAAGUUGGGCACUCUAAGUUGACUGCCGGUGACAAACCGGAGGAAGGUGGGGAUGACGUCAAAUCAUCAUGCCCCUUAUGAUUUGGGCUACACACGUGCUACAAUGGACAAUACAAAGGGCAGCGAAACCGCGAGGUCAAGCAAAUCCCAUAAAGUUGUUCUCAGUUCGGAUUGUAGUCUGCAACUCGACUACAUGAAGCUGGAAUCGCUAGUAAUCGUAGAUCAGCAUGCUACGGUGAAUACGUUCCCGGGUCU
Molecule: ribosomal RNA, 1372 nt
Filed under: uncultured bacterium
Lineage: Bacteria
Description: bacterial SSU rRNA
Rfam family: Bacterial small subunit ribosomal RNA
Source: RNAcentral